Gossypium arboreum is the source of this 144-nucleotide non-coding RNA. The record is from Rfam. Lineage: Eukaryota; Viridiplantae; Streptophyta; Magnoliopsida; Malvales; Malvaceae.
UGUUAAAACUUCAUCCAUUUCUAUUGUUAAAAACUGACGUGGUUGGCAAAAUAACCAGAUAUUUACACCUAGCAUGCCAUAUGUACUUCAUGUUGAAAUACAUUGACUAAUUUUUAACAGUAGAAAUAAAUAAAAUUUCUAAUA